UACGUAGGGACCAAGCGUUGUUCGGAUUUACUGGGCGUAAAGGGCGCGUAGGCGGCCACGACAAGUCACUUGUGAAAUCUCCGGGCUUAACUCGGAACGGUCAAGUGAUACUGUCGGGCUAGAGUGCAGAAGGGGCAACUGGAAUUCUCGGUGUAGCGGUGAAAUGCGUAGAUAUCGAGAGGAACACCUGCGGCGAAGGCGGGUUGCUGGGCUGACACUGACGCUGAGGCGCGAAAGCCAGGGGAGCGAACGGG
Molecule: ribosomal RNA, 254 nt
Filed under: uncultured bacterium
Lineage: Bacteria
Description: partial 16S ribosomal RNA
Rfam family: Bacterial small subunit ribosomal RNA
Source: RNAcentral